AUAGACAGGAUUUAGUUUUUCUUUCUUUUACUUUUAUUUUUAUUUUAUUUCUUUUUAAAUUCUUAGAAUAGGUUGAAUUUUAAUUUUAGUUUGUACUCUUGGCUUGAAUACUUUUUCUAAAAAUGUUUGAAUGACUGAUGUGCAUGAUGGAGCUAUUUGAUGAUUAUUUGAUGUGAAUGAGAAUUGAGUUACAAUGCAUGUUGAUAUUCUGU
RNAcentral lists this long non-coding RNA (212 nucleotides) under Vigna radiata. RNAcentral's name for it is "long non-coding RNA (VRAD_LNC000126)". The record is from RNAcentral. Lineage: Eukaryota; Viridiplantae; Streptophyta; Magnoliopsida; Fabales; Fabaceae.